RNAcentral lists this microRNA precursor (70 nucleotides) under Pan paniscus (pygmy chimpanzee). RNAcentral's name for it is "miRNA (ENSPPAG00000008821.1)". Lineage: Eukaryota; Metazoa; Chordata; Mammalia; Primates; Hominidae. The record is from RNAcentral.
CAAAAGUAAUUGUGGUUUUUGUCAUUGGAAGUGAUGGCAAAAACUGCAAUUACUUUUGCGCCAACCUAAU